RNAcentral lists this ribosomal RNA (737 nucleotides) under uncultured organism. Its description in RNAcentral is "bacterial SSU rRNA". It matches the Rfam family "Bacterial small subunit ribosomal RNA", at positions 75 to 830 of the family's 1533-position model. The record is from RNAcentral.
AUGAUUUAUCAUUUGGACAGUGGCAGACUGGUGAGUAACGCGUGGAUAAUCUGCCCCGAAGAUGAGGAUAGCUCGCCGAAAGGUGAGGUAAUCCUCAAUGGUGUGGGAAGUACAUAUGUACAUCCCACUAAAGCUUUAGCGCUUCGGGAUGAGUCUGCGUCCUAUCAGCUUGUUGGUAGAGUAAAGGUCUACCAAGGCUAAGACGGGUAACUGGUCUGAGAGGAUGGUCAGUCACAGUGGCACUGAAACACGGGCCACACUCCUACGGGAGGCAGCAAUUAGGAAUCUUGCACAAUGGAGGAAACUCUGAUGCAGCGACACCGCGUGAAGGAUGAAGACCCUCGGGUUGUAAACUUCUUUUAUAAUCUAACAAGUUCUGAGUGGAGUAUGAAUAAGCACCUGCUAACUGCGUGCCAGAAGCAUCGGUGAAGCGUGGGGUGCGAGCGUUAUCCGGAUUUAUUGGGCGUAAAGAGAUGCGUAGGCGUUUUGGUAAGUCUUCUGUCAAAGCCUUCGGCCUAACCGAAGAAAGGCAGAGGAUACUAUCAGAAUUGAGACAGAGAGGGGGAAGUGGAAUUCCCGGUGGAGCGGUGAAAUGCGUUGAUAUCGGGAGGAACACCAGUGGCGAAGGCAACUUCCUGGCUCUGUUCUGACGCUGAGGCUCGAAAGCGUGGAGAGCAAAGCGGAUUAGAUACCCGUGUAGUCCAUGCUGUAAACGUUGGAUACUGGACGUUUGGUUC